This 205-nucleotide unclassified non-coding RNA is filed under the name Hevea brasiliensis (rubber tree). Lineage: Eukaryota; Viridiplantae; Streptophyta; Magnoliopsida; Malpighiales; Euphorbiaceae. The record is from RNAcentral.
GACCCACCUCUAUCACUGUCUCUGAUUAGACUGAUGUACAGAAAUAAAAUAAAUAGAAAAAUUGAAGAAGAUCAUCUUAUGAGAAAUCCAACACCUGAUGGGGUUUCGGCCCUUGUGAUGCUGCUUCUUCUUGUUGAUAUGACCAUACAGGAUUUUUACCAGAAUUCGUGUAAGUAUCAACGCCGUUAGAUUUUUGCCCCCCAAA